AUGAACGCUGGCUACAGGCUUAACACAUGCAAGUCGAGGGGAAACGACGGGGAAGCUUGCUUCCCCGGGCGUCGACCGGCGCACGGGUGAGUAACGCGUAUCCAACCUGCCUCUGACUGAGGGAUAACCCGUCGAAAGUCGGCCUAAUACCUCAUGGCAUCGUCUGCGGGCAUCCAACGACGAUUAAAGAUUUCAUCGGUCAGGGAUGGGGAUGCGUCUGAUUAGCUUGUUGGCGGGGUAACGGCCCACCAAGGCUACGAUCAGUAGGGGUUCUGAGAGGAAGGUCCCCCACAUUGGAACUGAGACACGGUCCAAACUCCUACGGGAGGCAGCAGUGAGGAAUAUUGGUCAAUGGGCGGGAGCCUGAACCAGCCAAGUAGCGUGCAGGAUGACGGCCCUAUGGGUCGUAAACUGCUUUUAUGCGGGGAUAAAGUGAGGGACGUGUCCUUCAUUGCAGGUACCGCAUGAAUAAGGACCGGCUAAUUCCGUG
This 490-nucleotide ribosomal RNA is filed under the name uncultured bacterium. RNAcentral describes it as "partial 16S ribosomal RNA". It matches the Rfam family "Bacterial small subunit ribosomal RNA", at positions 29 to 507 of the family's 1533-position model. The record is from RNAcentral.